Molecule: transfer RNA, 77 nt
Filed under: Candidatus Methanomethylophilaceae archaeon
Lineage: Archaea; Methanobacteriati; Thermoplasmatota; Thermoplasmata; Methanomassiliicoccales; Methanomethylophilaceae
Description: tRNA-Ile
Rfam family: tRNA
About the family: Transfer RNA (tRNA) molecules are approximately 80 nucleotides in length. Their secondary structure includes four short double-helical elements and three loops (D, anti-codon, and T loops).
Source: RNAcentral
GGGCCUUUAGCUUAGUUCGGUGGAGCGUCUGGCUCAUAACCUGACGGUCGUCGGUUCAAAUCCGGCAAGGCCCACCA